CUCCCUGCCAAGCUGUGCAGGGGGUCACUUAUGCAAUAAUCAAAGUCAACCAACCCCACAACUUCUCACUAAAUUAAGUCAGACAGGUGAUUACUAACACAUGCUCUGUAUUUAAAUAUCACCCAAUGUUCUAUGCAUGGCUCCACAACAAAGAACCAUUCUUGGAGACCUUGCAAAACUCUGUUCCAGCAGAAUUGUCUAUAAAAAACAUCCUCUGAAGGUUAUCUCUCCUCAUUUACUUCCACUGUAAAACUGGAGAUGCUUUUUCUUACUCUGGAAAAAACUUCCAGGUCAUCAUUCCCACUGAGGAAGCGGUCAAUGGGGUCAUUACCCCUCCUGCUGAGUGUGACCUUGUACCAGAUAAGCCCUGAGAAUUCACCAGGUGUGCUGGCUUUCAGAAUUUUGCAAAGUUUUUCUGGAACACCUGUUUCCUCUUUGCUGUGCUUUCCACUCACUGCUUAUUUCCAUGCUAUGUCUGUCGGUCUUACUACUGUGGAUCCUGGAGAUCUACAACAAAGCUUCAUGAAAUUGUACUUCAAUUUCUGUUAACCUAACCUUAACCUGUUAACUUUCAUUCUGUUAACCUAAUCUUAACAUGCAAGACCUCAGUCUUGUAAAAUAAAUGUCCAAUAUUUCCAGUUCCAUGCACCUGAAAUUCUGCAUGAGGAAGUUCAUGACAUUGAUGAUUCUAGCAGAGUAGAUGAGAUUUCACAACCCAUGGACCCAGAGGUAUUACGUGCAACUCUCUUUAUUUCCCCAUAACUGGAUUCCCUGUCUAGCUUCCUCUCCUACCCGAUGGCAGAAAAGUUACUUCCAGGACAAUUCAGACAUGUCUGAGUUUUCAGACUUUUUCAAGUUCACAAUUCAAUUAAUUCAGCUUUGAGAUCUCCCUGCUUUCCCUAGGUGGGUGCAUACAAAGGGGGCUCAGCCGUGGGAGAGGACUCUUGCCCUUUGAACCUCUCUCUGUCUUAUGCUAGCUGAUGCUGAUAUGAGACCUGCUCCAUCCAGGCCACUAUGAUCAUUCCUUCCUUUGACAGCCUUGGCCAUCGUAAUCUGGGGUAUUGACAGACCGUGCUAGUUUUUUUCCUUAACCCCCAGGUCCCUUCGGGUCUCGGGCAACCCCUCUCCGGGGCACUGGCGCUAUGGGAUGCUCCCCAGGGGACGUUCCCAGCCUGGUCUUUCCAGUUUGGACAUUUUCCCCUUUACUGGCUCACCCUCCCCCAAGCUGGUGUCGUGUGGAAGGAAAUCAGGUCCGUGCACGCUUCCCAGGUCCUGCCAGGAAGGGGCCCAGGCUUCCUAAAGUUUUCCAGGAAAAGUCCUCCUCCCCCGCUACCCCCCAGCUCCGCCCUUCUGCGGGAGGGGGCAGCGUGGCUGGCUUUAAGCUUUAACUCUUCCGUCACAGCAGUGCUCCUUCUGUGUCUCACGCCAUCCGGAUCUCCGAUCUCCCGGGGAGGAGGCGGUGGUGGGAGGGACACAACCUCUGCCUCAUCAUAUCUUUUUCAAAAUUUGUAUUUUCUUCGUAAGCACUGACCAAAUGGGCAUGCUUUGUUCUGAGUUCUUCUCCUGGAGGGUCCGUGACAAAUCUGAAUACGUCCAAGGAAACAGUUGGGUCAACGAAGGAUGCUUAUCUUGGAGAAGGAAAAACCUCUCAGCAUGGUGGAGAAAGAGGUAACAUGAAGAAGUCUCAGGAAAAGAGAUUGGAACAGAAGUGGAUUUGCUAUGGCUUUCAUGGAAUAGAAGCUUCUGGGCCCCCCACCUGUGCUAUUUUCUUUGAAGACUUCCACCUAAUAUCAUGUUCAUCAUUGUUAUUCUUUUUUUUCUGAAGGAGAGCCCUCCCCCCCACCCCAAGUUGAAUAAGAUCAGCUCCACUAAUUCUGGAUCCACCCCUGAGCUAGAAUUAAUCUACAUAAUUCCUUGGGACAAAACUAGGAUUAAUAGUAGAAAGUUACAGUGAGGCAAACAUUGCUCAAGAUCUGGAAAUUCUCCCAGUUAGAGCUAUUAAAAAUUGGGAUGGGCUGCAGAAAACCAGAAAGUGCGUCAUUGGAUGCCUUGGGUAGGAGCGAAUGAGGCAGGGGUGUUGUAAGAGGGGCUGAUGAUCUCUCCCAACUCUAGGAAUCAAAGUCUCUGAGAUAAGCUACAGAGAGGGCACUGAGAAAGCAUUUGCUUGCCUAUGUAUUAAUAGUAGGGACCCCAAGUCCAAUAGCAGGGACCCCCAAGUCCAGGCACGUAUAGUUUGCUAGGUUUAAGUCACCGUAUUAAAAAAAAAAAGUAAUAAAAAUAUUCAGAAGCAUUCAGUAUUCCACGAUGAACUUUCUCAAACAUAUUCAAACCAGUAGGAAGUCACUGAAUCGAGUUGGCAAUAGACUCCUAAUCUAUUACUCCUAAUCUCCUGCUCCUCCAGCCAUGCUCCUAGAUGCUGGAUUCCUUGCUCAAAAUCAGCUAGAGGUGUGGUUGUAUUCCUUCGGUAAGGUCUCCAGCGCAGAGAGAAGUGGCCAGCAUCCCACCAUCACAGUAAUGUUUGUUGCUGUUGAACCAUCAAGCGCAGUGGCCACUGGUCCUUUCAGGCACAUCAGUAGACACUUCCUCACGACGAACCACUGGCGAUCAUUUCACUACUAGUGAUGCCGUCAUAUGCUGCAGAUUACUGGCGUCCCAUUUUCAUCAGGAAGAACUUCAGCACUGCAUUCAAGGCCAAACACAUCCGUAUCGAUCCCAUAUUCUGACCUUUAAAAGUUUGUUUUCUUGGACCACUCACACCCGAUAUGACAUGGAUCAUGGUUCUUGGGACAGCAGAGACAACCCUAGGCAUUUCACUAGAGAGAAUUCAAUGUAGGAAAUUGGCUGUGCAGGUAAGAAGGCAAACACAGAAAAGUGUUUAGUGAGCAGAGAUAGUGGGGGCUGGCUCAGGAAACAAGGCAGAGGCCGGAUCACCAGAACCUGCCAGCUGGGAGGGGUGGCCUGAGGCGGGGAGCUGGGCCUCCAUGGAGAGCUGUUGCACAGGCAGGGCAGAGGUGUGGAAGAGGGGCCUUGAGGCCAGACUGCUGCCUGGUGGUGCUGUCACCUCUGCAAGACACGGGCAGACUGGUUUGGGGGUCUGGAAAAGAGCUGGGAGUCUGCCAGUGUGAUGGUAACAAGAACAGCAGGCCAGCAGGUGGCCAUUCCCUCCUCAAGCCUUCCAGUGUCCUCUCAGUGCUCCCACUGGUGGGUCCUAAUGGGGAGCCAGCUGGCAAAGGGAAGUAUAUUUGCAGAGCCUUUACCUUGGGCUCAAACUGCAGAGCAGAGCAGGGCAGUGCUGAGCUGCGAGGCAAUGACUUAAUAACUAGCACAGCCUCACCUGCCCGCAGGACACCCAGACCCCUCACCACCUGGUCUGCUGAUCACACUUGCCUUCCCCUCGUCUCCUUCCCUCCCCGAUGAGGGGGUGUGGUCCCUCCCUGCCAUCUCCCGGGGAGAACUGAUGAUGCCCACCUCGGGUUCCGUUGUACCUGCCUAGGUAAUUAAGAAAGCACUGGGAACACAUCAACAUGUCUGUUUCUCCCUGUUAAAAUCCUGAAGCCCCUUGAUGGAAAAGGGUGAGUUUUCAUCAUCGUGCCUCCAAAGCUAUGGUUGGCACAUAGCACAUACUUUAAAAACAUUUGUUGAGGGAGCGCCUGGGUAGCUCAGUCCGUUGAGCAGCUGACCUCUGACUUCGGUUCAGGUCAUGAUCUCAUCGGGCUAGCUGUUAUCUGCACAGAACCCACUUCGGAUCUUCUGUCCCUCCCUGGCCCCCUGCCCCUUCCAUGCUUAUGCUCUCUCUCAAAAAUAAAUAAAUCUUUAACAAACAAACAAAA
Neofelis nebulosa (Clouded leopard) is the source of this 3830-nucleotide long non-coding RNA. RefSeq lists it as uncharacterized. The record is from RefSeq and is a predicted model, not a curated record. The transcript has 2 exons. NCBI's taxonomy places the organism in Eukaryota, Metazoa, Chordata, Mammalia, Carnivora, Felidae.